UCUAUUUCUUACGUUAUUUGAAUAGUAAGAAAUCAAUGCUAGAAGCUUUAUUUGUAUUUUGGCAGUUUACGUAAAACAAACACAGGACUUAAAUUUUUAAAUAAUUAUACACAUGUGCGUAUGUUGGAAGAUUAACCCGUUUCAAAACGUUAGUUAUUUUAUUGGUAUUAAAGCAAAAGUUAGCAAAAGACAAAAGACGAAUGUGAGAUCUGGGUUAAUAGUUAAAUGAGCAUCAAAAUUGUGCGUCGAGUUUUUGGAGCAUUUCGAAAAAAAAGAAAAUCCUAUGCAAUAGUUGAACAUCGGGUUUUGGAAGAUGCAUCUCAUUUUGAAUAUGGAUUGUUAUUUAUAGAACGAUGUGAGCAAAUUCACGAAUGCUCAAAUGUGCUUUUCCAGGUUCAAAAUAUUUACGUUGCAAAAAAUGAAAUUAUUCAAAGUUACGAGUUAAAACGUCGCAACGCUGUCUGCGAAUUAGAAAUAGAAGAAAGAUAUGGUUUAAUUUCAGUACUUAGAAGAUAUGUUCAGAAUAACAUGUUAAAAGAACUCGGAAUAGUUUAGAGGUCAAAAUGGUUUUUUUAAUUGAUGUCAUUUUAAGUGUGAGCCCGUAGAGACAAUACUCUCCAUAAACAUUGUGACAAUUGAAGAAAAAACAAAAUAUUUCCAAUUUUUUAUAAAAAUUACGAUAUUAGAUAUUUGUCAAAAAUUUUUGUAA
Long non-coding RNA from Hydra vulgaris (swiftwater hydra), 709 nucleotides. RefSeq lists it as uncharacterized. NCBI's taxonomy places the organism in Eukaryota, Metazoa, Cnidaria, Hydrozoa, Anthoathecata, Hydridae. The record is from RefSeq and is a predicted model, not a curated record.